Molecule: ribosomal RNA, 968 nt
Filed under: uncultured Thiobacillus sp.
Lineage: Bacteria; Pseudomonadati; Pseudomonadota; Betaproteobacteria; Nitrosomonadales; Thiobacillaceae
Description: bacterial SSU rRNA
Rfam family: Bacterial small subunit ribosomal RNA
Source: RNAcentral
GAUGUUCAACGCAGGCUAACGGAGCCGGGAGCUUGCUCCUGGUGGCUAGUGGCGAACGGGUGAGUCAAUGCGUCGGAACGUGCCGAGUAAUGGGGGAUAACGCAGCGAAAGUUGUGCUAAUACCGCAUACGCCCUGAGGGGGAAAGUGGGGGAUCGCAAGACCUCACGUUAUUCGAGCGGCCGACGUCUGAUUAGCUAGUUGGUGGGGUAAAGGCCUACCAAGGCGACGAUCAGUAGCGGGUCUGAGAGGAUGAUCCGCCACACUGGGACUGAGACACGGCCCAGACUCCUACGGGAGGCAGCAGUGGGGAAUUUUGGACAAUGGGGGCAACCCUGAUCCAGCCAUUCCGCGUGAGUGAAGAAGGCCUUCGGGUUGUAAAGCUCUUUCAGCUGGAGUGAAACGGUGCGCUCUAACAUAGCGCGCUAAUGACGGUACCAGCAGAAGAAGCACCGGCUAACUACGUGCCAGCAGCCGCGGUAAUACGUAGGGUUCGAGCGUUAAUCGGAAUACUUGGGCGUAAAGCGUGCGCAGCCGGAUUGUUAAGCAAGAUGUGAAAUCCCCGGGCUUAACCUGGGAAUGGCAUUUUGAACUGGCAGUCUAGAGUGCGUCAGAGGGGGGUGGAAUUCCACGUGUAGCAGUGAAAUGCGUAGAGAUGUGGAGGAACACCGAUGGCGAAGGCAGCCCCCUGGGAUGACACUGACGCUCAUGUACGAAAGCGUGGGUAGCAAACAGGAUUAGAUACCUGUAGUCCACCCUAUACGAUGUCAACUGGUGUUGGGGGAGUGAAAUCCCUUAGUAACGAAGCUAACGCGUGAAGUUGACCGCUGGGAGUACGUCGCAAGAUAAAAUCAAAGAAUGACGGGACCCGCACAAGCGUGGAGAGUGGAUAAUUGAUCAACCGAAAACCGACUACCUGACAGUCAGAACCAAGAAAUUGGGGCUAAAGGGUGACACACGCUCUGACCCG